GACGGAGGAUGCAAGCGUUAUCCGGAAUGAUUGGGCGUAAAGCGUCCGCAGGUGGCAGUUCAAGUCUGCUGUCAAAGACCGGGGCUUAACUUCGGAAAGGCAGUGGAAACUGAACAGCUAGAGUAUGGUAGGGGCAGAGGGAAUUCCUGGUGUAGCGGUGAAAUGCGUAGAGAUCAGGAAGAACAUCGGUGGCGAAGGCGCUCUGCUGGACCAUAACUGACACUCAGGGACGAAAGCUAGGGCAGCGAAUGGG
Molecule: ribosomal RNA, 253 nt
Filed under: uncultured bacterium
Lineage: Bacteria
Description: partial 16S ribosomal RNA
Rfam family: Bacterial small subunit ribosomal RNA
Source: RNAcentral